UACGUAGGGUGCAAGCGUUGUCCGGAAUUAUUGGGCGUAAAGAGCUCGUAGGCGGUUUGUCGCGUCUGCUGUGAAAACUGGGGGCUCAACCUUGGGCUUGCAGUGGGUACGGGCAGACUAGAGUGCGGUAGGGGUGACUGGAAUUCCUGGUGUAGCGGUGGAAUGCGCAGAUAUCAGGAGGAACACCGAUGGCGAAGGCAGGUCACUGGGCCGCAACUGACGCUGAGGAGCGAAAGCAUGGGGAGCGAACAGG
RNAcentral lists this ribosomal RNA (253 nucleotides) under uncultured bacterium. RNAcentral's name for it is "partial 16S ribosomal RNA". It matches the Rfam family "Bacterial small subunit ribosomal RNA", at positions 524 to 776 of the family's 1533-position model. The record is from RNAcentral.